GACGAACGCUGGCGGCGUGCUUAACACAUGCAAGUCGAACGGAAAGGCCCUGCUUUUGUGGGGUGCUCGAGUGGCGAACGGGUGAGUAACACGUGAGUAACCUGCCCUUGACUUUGGGAUAACUUCAGGAAACUGGGGCUAAUACCGGAUAGGAGCUCCUGCUGCAUGGUGGGGGUUGGAAAGUUUCGGCGGUUGGGGAUGGACUCGCGGCUAAUCAGCUUGUUGGUGGGGUAGUGGCUUACCAAGGCUUUGACGGGUAGCCGGCCUUGGAGGGUGACCGGCCACCUUGGGCCUGAGGUACGGCCCAGACUCCUACGGGAGGCAGCAGUGGGGAAUAUUGCACAAUGGGCGGAAGCCUGAUGCAGCAGCGCCGCGUUCGGGAUGACGGCCUUCGGGUUGUAAACCGCUUUCGCCUGUGACGAGGCGUGAGUGACGGUAAUGGGUAAAGAAGCACCGGCUAACUACGUG
This 468-nucleotide ribosomal RNA is filed under the name uncultured bacterium. Its description in RNAcentral is "partial 16S ribosomal RNA". It matches the Rfam family "Bacterial small subunit ribosomal RNA", at positions 28 to 507 of the family's 1533-position model. The record is from RNAcentral.